AUUGAACGCUGGCGGCAGGCCUAACACAUGCAAGUCGAGCGGAUGAAGGGAGCUUGCUCCUGGAUUCAGCGGCGGACGGGUGUGUAAUGCCUAGGAAUCUGCCUGGUAGUGGGGGAUAACGUCCGGAAACGGGCGCUAAUACCGCAUACGUCCUGAGGGAGAAAGUGGGGGAUCUUCGGACCUCACGCUAUCAGAUGAGCCUAGGUCGGAUUAGCUAGUUGGUGGGGUAAAGGCCUACCAAGGCGACGAUCCGUAACUGGUCUGAGAGGAUGAUCAGUCACACUGGAGCUGAGACACGGUCCAGACUCCUACGGGAGGCAGCAGUGGGGAAUAUUGGACAAUGGGCGAAAGCCUGAUCCAGCCAUGCCGCGUGUGUGGAGAAGGCCUUCGGAUUGUAAAGCACUUUAAGUUGGGAGGAAGGGCAGUAGGUUGAUACCUUGCUGUUUUGACGUUACCAACAGAAUAAGCACCGGCUAACUUCGUG
Molecule: ribosomal RNA, 484 nt
Filed under: uncultured bacterium
Lineage: Bacteria
Description: partial 16S ribosomal RNA
Rfam family: Bacterial small subunit ribosomal RNA
Source: RNAcentral